Molecule: long non-coding RNA, 813 nt
Filed under: Mytilus galloprovincialis (Mediterranean mussel)
Lineage: Eukaryota; Metazoa; Mollusca; Bivalvia; Mytilida; Mytilidae
Source: RNAcentral
CUCCAACACCUUGUUAUGUGUAUGAAACAGUAAAUGUUACGAGUAUAUACAACACAACAGAAGUUAUAACUGUUAAUGAAACAGAAACAGUCUAUGUUACUGCAUCAGUAAGUUCAUUGAACGUAAUAAACGUAACCGAAACUGUUAACGUAACUGAAACUGUAACCGAGACUGUGAUAGUAUCAAGUAUUUCAGUAAUACCUUUAGCCCCGACAGUGACUGACAUUCUAGGUACGAUUCUGGCGGUGACUUCGACCGUUAUUGUCACUGCCACAUACAACGUGACAAACGUGUUUAACGAAACUGAUAUAUAUAAUUUCACGUCAACUAUAUAUCAUUCUCUAUGCACGGAUUCCUGUAGAAACGGUACUCAACCUUAUCUGUCCCCAAAUGACCCAUUGUUACUAGAAGCCAUUGCAAGUAUGUCGAAAGAACUGACAGUGGACAAAAAGACAACAAACGCUGCCAUUAGAAAAUUGACAAGUGCGUCAGACAGUCGACCGUCGUCCCGUGCUAUAGGAAUAUCAGGAUUAAUACUUCUCAUAGUACCUUUAUCGGUUAUUGUAAUCUGUGACUUACCUGCCAUUUUGCGUAAAACUAAACGCAUGAUUGAACGAAGUCGUAGGACUAGCAAUUAUCAACUUUAGUAUCACUCACAUAUUGUGUAUUUGCAGAACAUAGCGCAUUCCUGUUGACCACCUAGAGCAAAAAAAGGUUAGACAAAUCCAAAUAUACAUUAUAUAUGCCUAGACUUCAAAUUCUUAUGAUGUCUUUUCACUUAAACCGCUGGAUAUGUACUGAAUCCUAUUACAG